Cyprinus carpio carpio is the source of this 1351-nucleotide long non-coding RNA. Lineage: Eukaryota; Metazoa; Chordata; Actinopteri; Cypriniformes; Cyprinidae. The record is from Ensembl.
AUUUAGGAACCCCAAGUACUUUUAAAAUAUAAUUUUAAACAGAUUUACACAUAUUAUUUUAUGAUUGGUAUUUACUGACAGUCCAAAGGCAGUCUUUUGUGGGUCUUUUUCUAUUCUGCCAUCUCUCCUGCAACACAUUAAGUGUGUUUUCUGCUAGGGGUGGAACGGUUCAACUUCUCACGGUUUUAUAGUCACGGUUUCGGUAUGUGCUAUGUUUAUGGAAAAACUAUACUUUCAAAUAAAAAUAAAGAAAAAAAGUAGCAAAAGCUAUUCAAUCAAGAGCAGUGAGGGAUUUAUUUAUUGUUGGUUUUCGAUUAAUAUUAAGACUUCAAGAGAAUGCACUGAUCCAGUGCACUGAUCCAGUACGUUCAGCCGGCUAUGUCUGCUAUAGGAUACUUACCAAGACGGUCAUUUUGACAUAAUUUUUGUGUGAAUUUGUCCACUCAAACACAAUACUCCAGAGAGAGAUUAAUAUUUUCGCGUGUUCUGAGACGCGGGUUUGCGCGCUUCGGAUGAGCGCAUGCACAAAUCUUCUCACUGCUCGCGCAAGCUCGCGUCCUCUGGCUCUAAAAUGUUUAAACUGGCAAAGCUUAAAUGAGUUUAGUUUAAACACAGAUAUCAACGUGUGCUGUUCAGGACUCACCUAUCAGCACCCGGGUGAUGACGAAAUACUGCUCAUAUUCCAGCACACGGCAUUCGCAUUGAACAGGAGUGAAUGUUGCAGCAAUCUACACACACGUGCUUCCAGAUGAACCUGAGAAGUCAGUGAAGAGCCAGAUGAUGUUGGAGGGAGAUUUGAGAAGGCUUAUCUUUGGAUAGAUCGGGGAGCAGGCUGCAGCUGCGCUGAAAUGAUUUAUAUGGUCAGAAACACACAUGCUCUCUCUUUCUCUCGCAAACACACAUUUUCAAUGCUGCUGUAUCCCCGUCCUUCACACUCACUCAUUCUUACUCUUUCACAUGUUUACUAGCAACGUUAUUUUGAAUGCAUGCUCUUCUUGCUCUCCAAACAUGCUCUCAACACCUUGGAUAUGGCCAGGCACACACAUGCUCUCGAGUUCUGAUGUAUCUGGCUCAGGCUGGCUGUGAAAAGUAGUUGUGGUCACUGAUGAAUCUUUAAAAACACCACCAGUACACUGGCUGUGCAAGAGCGACCCAACAACUCCUUCACACCAAAGUCCUCUAAUACCAUAGUGAUGCAUGCUAGCUGCUCCAAUAAAACAUUAAAAUUUCUGUUUUUAGUUGAACUUUUGAGCACCACUAUUAUUAUUGUUCAUACUUUUGGUUAGGGAUAUAAACAAAACUUUUAUCCUUAAAUUUGGGUGUGUAACUCAUUCCUCAACUUUUGUUCUGC